Zalophus californianus (California sea lion) is the source of this 4538-nucleotide long non-coding RNA. RefSeq lists it as uncharacterized. Lineage: Eukaryota; Metazoa; Chordata; Mammalia; Carnivora; Otariidae. The transcript has 8 exons. The record is from RefSeq and is a predicted model, not a curated record.
CUCCGGGAAGGGGCGGGGACGGACCGCGGAAAGACCGCGGGGUGGGGGGGGGGGACGCGGCGGCGCGCGCAGAGCGGCCGCGGCUGUGAGGCUGCGCGUCAGUGCCGCUGGCCUCUCCUUGGCUGUUGGAGGUUUGAGAAACACUGCUUCAAAGGAUUGGUAGGAUUUGGAUAUGUGAGUAAAGGAAGAGGAAGCUGCUGGUGAAGAAGUCCUUUUAAGACAUUGAAAAUAUAGUGAAGAAAGGAGGUUAGCACAACAUUGCCAAUGGCUUCCUGGCGAACAGUGAAGUUCAGCUAGGCUGGAGCACUAGGAAUGUGAAGAACAGAGUAAGAUCCAGAAAGUCAGAUCAGCAUUGAAACAUUGGCUCUACUUGGAUCUUGAGCUUGCAAUCUCGUGGACUAGAACUACACCAGCAGCUCUCUUGGGUCUCCAGUUUGCUGGCUGCAGAUCUUAGGACUUCUCAGCCUCCAUAAUUAUAGAAGGCAUUGGGAGACCAAGAAAUAUUAAUGAACAAAGUUCAAAGUCACAAAGCAGAAGAAAACUAGAACCUGGAUCUGAAUUCAGAGGCAUAAUUCUGGGCAAGUCUGGCAGGAGUUAUCAUUGACCCAUCCGUGGGAAUUGGUGCUUAAGGACAGAGCUUCAAUCCCUGUGAAGACCAGAGGAACUGGGAUACCCAGCAGGAAACACAGGGUGGAGACUCAGGCGCGGGAAAACGACAAGGACAAAUCUCUUAUGAGAAUGUAAAGUCACUGCCGAAAUUGCUGUCACCAAAUUAGAUGUAAGCAAGAAAAUUUGCAAAAGCCCAGAAAAAGUAAAAAUUUACAAGUAUUUUGCACUUCAAAAGAUCGGCAAAGGAAAUGUAGUUCAAGUUAAAAUAAAAAGCUUAAGGUAUAAAAAUAUUUCAAGGCAAUUUCAGUAAACUGGAUUUCAAGAAACUCCUAAAACAUUUUUUUAGAGCCAGUUGUUAAACAUUUAAAAGCAUACCGUUGGAUACAGCGAACCUGAGGCAAUCUCUUAAUGUGGGAGCUGAGAAAACUCACACCCAGACCUUGUUUUCAAGAUGGAAAGAAGACCCCGCUCAAUAGGGAGCCAGAGAACACUGGUGCCUCUUGAUCCGUCCUGUUCAAACCAUCCUCUGGGGGAGACAGCAGAUGGAGGAGGGUGGAGAGUGAAUACCUUCCUAUCCAUUCUUAUCACCCCUGAUUUCCCACAGCAAUGGAGGUAACUUUGGCUGACAACUGGAAACAGUGGAUUUUCUAGUAGGACCUUAAGUGACCCUGCUCAAGAUGAACUGUCCUAGAAUAAAAUUUGAUUGGCCAACUUCAGUCAGUGAUUACUCUUGGCAACAAGACAGGGUUCCUUGACUGACAGUCCCAUGGAGACUCUCAUAAUAAGGAGCCAGUAAUCUCCAACAAGGAAUUCAGAGUGCUCUUAAGAACAGGAGGGCGAAUGGGUGCUGGGAAGCCAAGGAAGAGCAAAUGUCCACUUCCAUCUGGGACAUGACCUUGCUACAGGGCCCCUCCUGAGUUGGGGGGGUGGGCAGGGAGCAUUAACGUGGAAGUAAUUGAGAAUUAAUUUUUCUUUAAAAAUCUCCAGGCAUAAUGUCAAUAGUUCAGAAUGUAACACUAUUUGACAUUAACAGAGCUCACACUGAAAAAUCGCAGGUAUGUAAAUAAAUGUGGAAUGAAAAUAAAUAAGAAACUGAAAGAAAAGCUGAGAUAUGCUGAUGUUUAAGGAAGAUCAUAUGUCACUGUUUUGCCAAACCUGAUGAAAAGAUAAGUAUGUUCCAACAGCAUUCAGAGUAAGUGGAAAAUUUACUGUUAAACAUAGAGCCAGGGGGGUGAGAAGAAUGGGUUUGUAGGGGACUUUGUGGUCCAUUUCAGUUGUAAAUGAGUGAAGAGAAAGUGCUUGACCUUCCCGGCUGUGGCCCCCUCGACCUACAUGGUCCUCUCGCUCUUCUCUCUACUUCUCCAAGCUCUGCUGCCUUCAGGACCCAACACACAUGUCUUUUCUCUCAGAGCCUUCCAGGACCAGCUCAAUCCAGCCCAAUCCAUGAUGAAAUACCGCUUCUUGUCCCAUGCACGUGGCACUUCCUAAACGUCCCCUUAGGUUGUCACACAGCUCCUGACAUGUGCAUCCUGACCUUCACCUAGGGUCCGGGAAUAACGAAAGCAGGAUCUGUCUGAUGAUGAGAAGUUGGCUGUUGGAGGCUUAAUGUGACAUUUACAAAACUUGGUCUUUCUGCCCUUUUCUAGUUCCUCAUUCACCUAAACCUUGAAAAUAGGAAAUGUAACCAGGAUUUGUCCCUUCUCUCUCUCUCUCUCUCUCUCUCUUUUUACACCACACUGUUCUGGAGAGAAUUAAUGAGAGGAUACAUGUAAAAGCCAACACAAGACUUACACUCGGAUGUUUUCAUUUUGUCAGAUGCUCGUUGCCCUAUAGGUAAAGAUCUCCCAAGCACAUAGGCAGAUUCUUUUAAUGGUUACGAAUAAUGGUAGUAUUGUCUCAUGCUGCCUAUUCUUUCUCAAUGAUCUCAUCUAUUUGGGCAGUUUCAGUUGUGGUCUUUAAGAGGAUGACUCUCCAUCUGCCUCCAGCCAACUCAUCUCCCAAGCCCAGGCCCGUAUUUCCAACCUGAUGUUCUGUAGACCUCAGACUCAACAGGUCCUGAAUUGAACCCAUCCUUCCAUACAAACCUAGUCCCUCUUGUUACUGAAGCCAUUGACCACAAUCAGAACUGGCCUAGAUGCCACUUAUGCCUGAAAUCCCAGAAAUGUUUCAGUUCCAGCAUCUCCUUCUCACCGUCUCCCACCCAGUAUCCUGCUGGAGUCUCCCAAUGUGUUCCUAAGGUUCCAUUUUUUCUGCAGCCCCAUGUCUGACCUUCAUUAAGUCUCAACUCAAAUCUUGCAAGAACAUCCUGACUAGUCCCUCUAUCUCCACCCACCACCUCAGCCCAUGCUCUAUGCUGUCACUAGGAGUUCUGUCCUUAAAGACACUGGUAAGAUUGUAUCAGACCCCAGCACCCUCUCCACACACCAAAGCUUCUAGUCUUCCUGUUCUGACAUAACAGUUCGAGCUGUCCACAAUAUGUAGCCUCAUCUCCUCUACAGUCCCCGAACCUCAAGCCUACUCCCUCCGCAUUUCACGUUCCCAGAAUAUGCCCUCCACUGUCACACAAUUAACCUUGUUAAGCUGUUUCCUUGUCUCAAAUACUCUUGCCACCUGGCCCAGGAUCCUCUUAAUCUGGCAUCUUCCAAGACACUUCACCAAUUUUAACAGUUAACAUUAAUUGUUCCUUCAAGUAAUAGCUACCAUUAUAGAGAACUGAGUAUGUGCCAGGGAUUUACAUACAUUAUCACGGUUAAUCCUCACCACCCUCCAGCAAGUUAGGUAUUACAGGCCCAUGAUCCCUUAUCCAAAGCCUUGAGGCCAGCUGUGCUUCCAAAUUGAGAAUGUCUUGUUUUUUGGAAAGGUAAUAUAGUGGGAUGUGUCUCAGUUUCCCCAUCUGUAAAAUGGAGAGGAUAAGUACUAGCAGAGUACCUCUCUCAUGGGAUUGUUGUGAAACAGGCAAUGUGUUCCUUCAGAGAAGGGCUUAGGGAAGUGCCCUUAUGAAAUGCACUGUGAGGUCUAUUUACUUGACUGUUAUAAACAAUACAUAAUAGCUUGUGAAAAGACCUUACUAGGAAAAUAAGUGGCUCAACAAAUUUGUAUCAGGAAAGUAAUUUGGAUGAUGAUAAGAGCCCUCAUUUUGCUGGAUGUUGUGCUUUCUUUUUCUUUCUUUACUUUCACUUCCUUCUGCUACUUACCACACCCUUUAUUCAGCAUUUCCUAUCAAAAUCACAGGCCUCCUGCUACUGCAAUGAAAAGUCUUUCUUCAUUUUUCCAGCCUAUUUUACAAUUAAUUCAUAAGUUUCUCCAGAAAAAGAAAUAUAUAUAUAUAUAUAUAUAUGCUAGAUAAUUAUUCCCUUCUUCUCUGACAAGAAUAAUUUAUGACAAUUAAUGCUAGUUUUUAGAAAUUCAGUGUAAACAUCACCAACAAAUUCAUUUGCUUUACUCUUUUAUGGGCCCAGAUGCAGAAGAGUCCAAGAAUGUAGGGCCUGGAAGGGACCCUAAAGACCAGCCAGUAUGCGUGACCCGACUCUAUCCAACUAUCUUUUAUACUUGAAGAAACUAGGAGUAGGGAGCUCCUGCUCAAGUUCACACAGCUAGUUAAUGACACAACACUAGCUAAAUCCCAACUGUCCCCAUUCCCACCUCCCCCCCCAUCCCCAAGCAACCACUGAUCCACUUUCUGUCACUAUAGAUCAUUUUCCUAGAAUUUCAUAAAAAUGGAAUCAUACAAUAUUUGUUGAAUCUGGCUUCUUUCACUCAACAUACUGUUUUUGAGAUUCAUCUACAUUGUUGCAUUUAUUGGAGGAGUGUUCUUUCUUAUUGUUGAGUAGUAUUUUAUUUUAAAGAUAUAUUGCAAUGUAUUUAUCCAUUCUUCUGCUGAUGGAUGUUUGGGUUAUUUCCAGGUUUUGACUAUUAUGAAUAAAACUGCU